Molecule: unclassified non-coding RNA, 314 nt
Filed under: plant metagenome
Description: partial contains 5.8S ribosomal RNA, internal transcribed spacer 2, and large subunit ribosomal RNA
Rfam family: 5.8S ribosomal RNA (bases 1-105)
Source: RNAcentral
GAAAUGCGAUAAUUAAUGUGAAUUGCAGAAUUCAGUGAAUCAUCGAGUCUUUGAACGCACAUUGCGCCCCCUGGUAUUCCGGGGGGCAUGCCUGUCCGAGCGUCAUUGCUGCCCUCAAGCACGGCUUGUGUGUUGGGCUUCCGUCCCUGGCAACGGGGACGGGCCCAAAAGGCAGUGGCGGCACCAUGUCUGGUCCUCGAGCGUAUGGGGCUUUGUCACCCGCUCCCGUAGGUCCAGCUGGCAGCUAGCCUCGCAACCAAUCUUUUUAUCCAGGUUGACCUCGGAUCAGGUAGGGAUCCCCGCUGAACUUAAGC